Molecule: unclassified non-coding RNA, 376 nt
Filed under: uncultured Actinomycetes bacterium
Lineage: Bacteria; Bacillati; Actinomycetota; Actinomycetes
Description: uncultured actinobacterium contains 16S-23S intergenic spacer region
Source: RNAcentral
UCCGAGUUGACCCCGGCAGUCUCCUACGAGUCCCCGGCAUUACCCGCUGGCAACAUAGGACAAGGGUUGCGCUCGUUGCGGGACUUAACCCAACAUCUCACGACACGAGCUGACGACAGCCAUGCACCACCUGUGCAAGGCCCCUAAGGACACCGUAUCUCUACGGCUUUUCCCUGCAUGUCAAGCCCAGGUAAGGUUCUUCGCGUUGCUUCGAAUUAAGCCACAUGCUCCGCCGCUUGUGCGGGUCCCCGUCAAUUUCUUUGAGUUUUAACCUUGCGGCCGUACUCCCCAGGCGGAUGACUUAACGCGUUAGCGGCGGCACCGAGGGAGUGGAUACCCCCGACACCCAGUGCCCAUCGUUUACGGCGUGGACUAC